CGCGUGUACUGGUCCGGCCGGGCCUUUCCCUCUGUGGAACCCCAUGCCCUUCACUGGGUGUGGCGGGGAAACAGGACUUUUACUGUGAAAAAAUUAGAGUGCUCCAGGCAGGCCUAUGCUCGAAUACAUUAGCAUGGAAUAAUAGAAUAGGACGUGUGGUUCUAUUUUGUUGGUUUCUAGGACCGCCGUAAUGAUUAAUAGGGACAGUCGGGGGCAUCAGUAUUCAAUUGUCAGAGGUGAAAUUCUUGGAUUUAUUGAAGACUAACUACUGCGAAAGCAUUUGCCAAGGAUGUUUUCAUUAAUCAGGAACGAAAGUUAGGGGAUCGAAGACGAUCAGAUACCGUCGUAGUCUUAACCAUAAACUAUGCCGACUAGGGAUCGGACGGUGUUAUAUUUUGACCCGUUCGGCACCUUACGAGAAAUCAAAGUGCUUGGGCUCCAGGGGGAGUAUGGUCGCAAGGCUGAAACUUAAAGAAAUUGACGGAAGGGCACCACCAGGGGUGGAGCCUGCGGCUUAAUUUGACUCAACACGGGGAAACUCACCAGGUCCAGACACAAUGAGGAUUGACAGAUUGAGAGCUCUUUCUUGAUUUUGUGGGUGGUGGUGCAUGGCCGUUCUUAGUUGGUGGAGUGAUUUGUCUGCUUAAUUGUGAUAACGAACGAGACCUUAACCUGCUAAAUAGCCCGUAUUGCUUUGGCAGUACGCUGGCUUCUUAGAGGGACUAUCGG
This 729-nucleotide ribosomal RNA is filed under the name uncultured eukaryote. Its description in RNAcentral is "SSU rRNA". It matches the Rfam family "Eukaryotic small subunit ribosomal RNA", at positions 670 to 1426 of the family's 1831-position model. The record is from RNAcentral.